RNAcentral lists this unclassified non-coding RNA (311 nucleotides) under Hevea brasiliensis (rubber tree). The record is from RNAcentral. Lineage: Eukaryota; Viridiplantae; Streptophyta; Magnoliopsida; Malpighiales; Euphorbiaceae.
GUUCAGUAGGAUGCUUUGUUAGUUUAUUUGGAGAUUUGAGAAAACAUUCACCACAAGAGACAACUUCACGUAAUACAGCAACUUUCAGAAUAGUCAUGGUAAUGACUAGAAGCUAAUGAGGAUGCUCAUGCAGUCUCGCCAAUAUAAGAGCAAUGAGCUAUAAAUUUAAAGUACAGUUUGACCAAGGCUUAUGACCAAGGACUAGCAAAGUAUGAAAGACUUCCUUUUGAAAGCCAUUAGUGCAGUAGCUAAAUGACUGCUGCUGCUGCAAUGUCCUUAUUGGAGAAAACAAUCCAAUAUCAAAAGGAGAU